Molecule: non-coding RNA, 1655 nt
Organism: Myodes glareolus (Bank vole)
Lineage: Eukaryota; Metazoa; Chordata; Mammalia; Rodentia; Cricetidae
Source: RefSeq, a predicted model, not a curated record
GUCUGGCAUUUCCUAUCAGAGAGACCUUGGAAGACUUAUUAAAUGCCACUGCCCCUCACUUUUUGAAUUUGUCAAGAGAGGCUAAUUUUUGUCUUACAGGGAUCCUUAUGAGAGAAGGCAGUGAAAACGGAGCAAGCACUCUGGGUCUGCAGCGGAAUCUCUAUGGAUGUUGGCCUUUCUCUCCCUUUCCUGAAAAGAACCGAGAGGCUUGCGCUGAGUGACACAUCCUAGAACACCUGUUUCCACGACCCUUCCCUGGCUGUUGAGACUACAGUGGAAGGACACGGCUGCCAGAGCAAAGGUCUCUGGAGAGGAAUUAAACGAUGGGGGCAGAUCUCCAGUGGGUAAGUGAAUACCUUUUCUCACGUUUCUGUCUUUAUUUCCUACCUAACCUGGAUUCCUACAGCUAGCUGUUUAAUGCAUACCUGCACUAACAUCUUACACUGACCGUCCCCUGAAUUUCCACCACGGCUACUUUGUUAGUCCAUGUUCUGGAAAAUAAUUCUGCUUGUUUGUAAGCAAAUGAUGGAGACAGACUGGAGAAAAUCUGUACCCUUGUGGCCUUGGUCCCACUUAGCCCUAGUGUUCCCAGCAGCUCAGAAACCCUCUGGCUGAGAUUCUCUGCUGGUUCCGGCACCCUACUCUCAACAGAGUGCUUCACAUUCUUGUCCCCACUCUCCAAGAUGGAAACUUGCUGACUUCUUCCCUGCCAGACCAGAGUCUGUCCCUUCUUGCUGUCCUGCCCCUGUUACCGUGUGCAAGUACGCUGUCUCCUGGCCAUGCUGAACCCUCUUCUUCCACUUACAGCUUCUAACUUGUAUCUUUCAAUUUUCUCACCUAUUUCUUUGGCACAAACAUGCCUAAGACUCUGCCCUGUCUCCAGUGUCCCUUGAUCUCCAGUCCCCCACCCCAUCCCAUGCAUCGCCAAACUUCCUCUUUCUAAUGGAACAUUCACUAUUGUUACAGUCGCUAGUCAUUUGUCCAGCUGCCAGAGGGAAUGCCAGGUGAGCCUUCUCAUUUUUACUCCUGGUCUCGCAGAGGUGGGCAGCAUGGCUGACCAGGCUAUGGGCUCUGUCCUAUGACAGGGAGCAUUCCUGAGCCUGUGCCUGUACCCGCUGCCCUUUCUUGUUCUCCGUCACCGUCGAUCACUCUUUACCCAGGCUCUCGGUUGGUAAUCUUAUAUAUUUCCAAGGUUACCAAAAGCUCAUUCUGUUCUAGCUAAGACCAUGACCAACUUCAUAUUUCCUAACCAACAUACUUGUCCCUUAUUUCUGAAUCCCAUUCUCCUUCUGUUGCCAGAGUUACCUCCCUAGAAUAAACAUGAUCAAUACACGCCUCACUUUGAAACCUUUAGCGGCUUCCUGGUGUCUGGAGAAGAAAAUCCAAACCGAUUUCAGCUGCAGUCUAGAAUCUGGUCCCACCCCAACAUCCUAACUUUCAUCUCUGUCCUCACCUCCAUGAACCCUCUGCUAGUCACACGGGCCUUCUUCAGGCUCCCAACACAACCUACUCCCUGCCUUUGACUCAGAGCUGGACUCAAACCACUUUUCAUCUUCUAUGGACAGAAUUUUCUCCCAUGUGUAUAAACCAUGGGAUGGAUCCACUAUUUAUUUUGGAUGAAUGAGUAAAUAAAUCAACACUGUUAAUUCAUUUCA